CUGACUUGACAUGUUGCUUAGCCACACCCGAGUCACAUAGUCCCCCUGGGUUUUAAUUUCUUUUUCCGGUGUUAGUAAUACUUGUUCCCUUCCUGCCCCACUGGCCUGUUGGGAGGCAUAAGUAGACUCAUAGCAUGCUAGGUCCUCCCUUUUCAUUAUCUUCCUAGGAAAACAGUUACCCAUAGGAGCCCAGAACCUUGCCUAGAGUCACCCUGCCAGCAAGUGGCAGAGCUGCGAUUUGAAUCUGGGGCUUAUGCAUCUGAUUCUGCUGAGGAUGUCAAAUUACCAGGCUUUGGUCUAAGCAGAAGUCAGGGGACAGCAGUGAAAAGAGCACGGUUCCACACCUUGAUGCCGUCUCUCACUUUCCCUCUGUGUGACCUUGGAUAGAAAGUUUCGCUUUGGAGUGCAGUGAUGCAGUCACGGCUGACUGCAGCCAUAACCUCAUGGGCUCAAGUGAUCCUCCCACCUCAGCCUCCCAAGUAGCUGGGACCACAGGUAUGCACCACCAUUCCCAGCUAAUUUCUUCUUAUUUUUUGUAGACACAGGGUAUCCCUAUGUUACCUAGG
RNAcentral lists this long non-coding RNA (566 nucleotides) under Homo sapiens (human). Its description in RNAcentral is "HSALNT0070417". The record is from RNAcentral. Lineage: Eukaryota; Metazoa; Chordata; Mammalia; Primates; Hominidae.